UUUUUUUUUUUCACUUUCUUGAAAUUUUCUCUUGCUAAUUGUCUCUUCUUUUUUGUUGCAGAGACGUAAAGGGAAGCUUGAGAUUGCUGCUGCAAAACCUUGGUUUUCCUUUAAUUUCUCUUCUGGGCAUUUGAGGUAAGCUACCCUUCAUAAUUGCAAGAAUUUAAUUUUGAUGUUAUGCACACUACAUGUUUGGCAGAAUGUUAGAGAGGAGAAAUUCCUUUCUUUUACCUUGAUUUUUUUUUGGUAGGAAUUGGAGACUUUGCACGCGUCAAUUUAGGAGCUUUGCUUGGCGUCUUUGGAGCUUUUGCACCCAUCAAUUGAGGAGUUUUGCUUGGAGCUUUGGAGCUUUGCACCCAUCAAUCCAGGAGUUUUGCUUG
Molecule: long non-coding RNA, 380 nt
Filed under: Salvia miltiorrhiza (redroot sage)
Lineage: Eukaryota; Viridiplantae; Streptophyta; Magnoliopsida; Lamiales; Lamiaceae
Description: long non-coding RNA (SMIL_LNC000224)
Source: RNAcentral